This 85-nucleotide transfer RNA is filed under the name Patescibacteria group bacterium. RNAcentral describes it as "tRNA-Leu". The record is from RNAcentral.
GCGCGGGUGGCGAAAUUAGAAGACGCACUGCCUUGAGGUGGCAGCGCCUGUUAAAGGCGUGGAGGUGCAAGUCCUCUCCCGCGCA